Molecule: ribosomal RNA, 494 nt
Filed under: uncultured bacterium
Lineage: Bacteria
Description: partial 16S ribosomal RNA
Rfam family: Bacterial small subunit ribosomal RNA
Source: RNAcentral
GACGAACGCUGGCGGCGUGCUUAACACAUGCAAGUCGAACGGUGAAGCGCCUUCCUUUUUGGUGGGUGUGGAUGAGUGGCGAACGGGUGAGUAACACGUGAGUAACCUGCCCCCUUCUUCUGGAUAACCGCAUGAAAGUGUGGCUAAUACGGGAUAUUCUGGGUCUGUCGCAUGAUGGGUCUGGGACAGAUAUUGUUUCGGUGGGGGAUGGGCUCGCGGCCUAUCAGCUUGUUGGUGGGGUGAUGGCCUACCAAGGCGGUGACGUGUAGCCGGCCUGAGAGGGUGGACGGUCACAAUGGGAAUGAGACACGGCCCAGACGCCUACGAGAGGCAGCAGUGGGGAAUAGUGCACAAUGGGCGCAAGCCUGAUGCAGCGACGCCGCGUGAGGGAUGGAGGCCUGCGGGUUGUGAACCUCUUUCGCCAGUGAAGCAGGCCUGCCUCGUUUGUGGGUGGGUUGACGGUAGCUGGAUAAGAAGCGCCGGCUAACUACGUG